GACCGCGACCCUAGGUCAA
This 19-nucleotide ribosomal RNA is filed under the name Gongronemopsis latifolia. Its description in RNAcentral is "Gongronema latifolium partial large subunit ribosomal RNA". Lineage: Eukaryota; Viridiplantae; Streptophyta; Magnoliopsida; Gentianales; Apocynaceae. The record is from RNAcentral.